GACGAACCGUGCGAACGUUGUUCGGAAUCACUGGGCUUAAAGGGCGCGUAGGCGGGCACGCAAGUCAGGGGUGAAAUCCUCCGGCUCAACCGGAGAACAGCUUUUGAUACUGCGUGCCUCGAGGGGGGUAGGGGCAUGUGGAACUUCCGGUGGAGCGGUGAAAUGCGUAGAUAUCAAGUGGAACACCAGUGGCGAAGGCGAGUCUCUGGACAUUUCCUGACGCUGAGGCACGAAAGCCAGGGGAGCAAACGGG
This 253-nucleotide ribosomal RNA is filed under the name uncultured bacterium. Its description in RNAcentral is "partial 16S ribosomal RNA". It matches the Rfam family "Bacterial small subunit ribosomal RNA", at positions 524 to 776 of the family's 1533-position model. The record is from RNAcentral.